Molecule: ribosomal RNA, 110 nt
Filed under: Weizmannia acidilactici
Lineage: Bacteria; Bacillati; Bacillota; Bacilli; Caryophanales; Bacillaceae
Source: RNAcentral
GGUGAUGAAGGCGGGAAGGCCACACCCGUUCCCAUCCCGAACACGGAAGUUAAGCUUCCCAGCGCCGAUGGUAGUUGGGGGGUUCCCCCUGCGAGAGUAGGACGUUGCAG